AUCCAGCUGAUGAGUCUCAAACAGGACGAAACGCGCGUCCUGGAU
Molecule: non-coding RNA, 45 nt
Filed under: Schistosoma mansoni
Lineage: Eukaryota; Metazoa; Platyhelminthes; Trematoda; Strigeidida; Schistosomatidae
Source: RNAcentral